GACGAACGCUGGCGGCGUGCCUAAUACAUGCAAGUAGAACGCUGAAGAGAGGAGCUUGCUCUUCUUGGAUGAGUUGCGAACGGGUGAGUAACGCGUAGGUAACCUGCCUUGUAGCGGGGGAUAACUAUUGGAAACGAUAGCUAAUACCGCAUAACAAUGGAUGACACAUGUCAUUUAUUUGAAAGGGGCAAUUGCUCCACUACAAGAUGGACCUGCGUUGUAUUAGCUAGUAGGUGAGGUAAUGGCUCACCUAGGCGACGAUACAUAGCCGACCUGAGAGGGUGAUCGGCCACACUGGGACUGAGACACGGCCCAGACUCCUACGGGAGGCAGCAGCAGGGAAUCUUCGGCAAUGGGGGCAACCCUGACCGAGCAACGCCGCGGGAGUGAAGAAGGUUUUCGGAUCGUAAAGCUCUGUUGUAAGUCAAGAACGGGUGUGAGAGUGGAAAGUUCACACUGUGACGGUAGCUUACCAGAAAGGGACGGCUAACUACGUG
This 497-nucleotide ribosomal RNA is filed under the name uncultured bacterium. RNAcentral describes it as "partial 16S ribosomal RNA". It matches the Rfam family "Bacterial small subunit ribosomal RNA", at positions 28 to 507 of the family's 1533-position model. The record is from RNAcentral.